CCUACGGGAGGCAGCAGUGAGGAAUAUUGGUCAAUGGACGAGAGUCUGAACCAGCCAAGUAGCGUGAAGGAUGACUGCCCUAUGGGUUGUAAACUUCUUUUAUAUGGGAAUAAAAUGUUCCACGUGUGGGUUUUUGUAUGUACCAUAUGAAUAAGGAUCGGCUAACUCCGUGCCAGCAGCCGCGGUAAUACGGAGGAUCCGAGCGUUAUCCGGAUUUAUUGGGUUUAAAGGGAGCGUAGGUGGAUUGUUAAGUCAGUUGUGAAAGUUUGCGGCUCAACCGUAAAAUUGCAGUUGAAACUGGCAGUCUUGAGUACAGUAGAGGUGGGCGGAAUUCGGGGUGUAGCGGUGAAAUGCUUAGAUAUCACGAAGAACUCCGAUUGCGAAGGCAGCUCACUGGACUGCAACUGACACUGAGGCUCGAAAGUGUGGGUAUCAAACAGGAUUAGAUACCCCAGUAGUC
RNAcentral lists this ribosomal RNA (460 nucleotides) under uncultured bacterium. RNAcentral describes it as "partial 16S ribosomal RNA". It matches the Rfam family "Bacterial small subunit ribosomal RNA", at positions 338 to 795 of the family's 1533-position model. The record is from RNAcentral.